AAUGAACGUUGGCGGCGUGGAUUAGGCAUGCAAGUCGAACGGGCCAGCAAUGGUCAGUGGCGAAAGGGAGAGGAAUAGUUAGGUACCUGCCUCUAGGUUCGGGAUAGCCAAGGGAAACUUUGGGUAAUACCGAAUGUGGUCUCCGGAUCAAAGGUGUGAUUCCGCCUGGAGAGGGGCCUGACUCCUAUCAGCUUGUUGGUGAGGUAACGGCUCACCAAGGCGAAGACGGGUAGCAGGUGUGAGAGCACGACCUGCCUCACUGGGACUGAGAUACUGCCCAGACACCUACGGGUGGCUGCAGUCGAGAAUCUUUGGCAAUGGGGGCAACCCUGACCAAGCGACGCCGCGUGCGGGAUGAAGGCCUUCGGGUUGUAAACCGCUUUUCUGGAGGAUGAAAUGCUUGAGGGUUCUCCCUCAGGUUUGACAGAUUUCAGGAAUAAGCUCGGGCUAAGUUCGUGCCAGCAGCCGCAGUA
RNAcentral lists this ribosomal RNA (473 nucleotides) under uncultured bacterium. RNAcentral's name for it is "bacterial SSU rRNA". It matches the Rfam family "Bacterial small subunit ribosomal RNA", at positions 29 to 522 of the family's 1533-position model. The record is from RNAcentral.